RNAcentral lists this ribosomal RNA (1587 nucleotides) under Hoplolaimus columbus. Its description in RNAcentral is "SSU rRNA". It matches the Rfam family "Eukaryotic small subunit ribosomal RNA", at positions 147 to 1750 of the family's 1831-position model. Lineage: Eukaryota; Metazoa; Nematoda; Chromadorea; Rhabditida; Hoplolaimidae. The record is from RNAcentral.
CUGUGGUAAUUCUAGAGCUAAUACAUGCACCAAAGCUCCGAUCCUCGCGGAGAGGAGCGCAUUUGUUCGCCACAAAACCAAGCGCCUUCACAGGCGUUCAGUGUUGACUCAGAAUAACUAAGCUGAUCGCACGGUCUUGCACCGGCGACGUGUCUUUCGGGUGUCUGCCUUAUCAACUUUCGAUGGUAGUAUACAGGACUACCAUGGUUGUGACGGGUAACGGAGGAUAAGGGUUCGACUCCGGAGAAGGGGCCUGAGAAAUGGCCACUACGUCUAAGGAUGGCAGCAGGCGCGCAAAUUACCCACUCUCAACAUGAGGAGGUAGUGACGAGAAAUAACGAGACCGUUCUCUUCAGAGGCCGGUCAUCGGAAUGGGUACAACUUAAACCCUUUAACGAGUAUCUAUGAGAGGGCAAGUCUGGUGCCAGCAGCCGCGGUAAUUCCAGCUCUCAAAAUGCAUAGAAUUAUUGCUGCGGUUAAAAAGCUCGUAGUUGGAUCUGUGCUGGCCGCCCGGUCUGUCCACUGGGCAUGCACUGGUGCGGUCGGCUUUCCUGCCUGGUUCCUCCCCGGCGUUGGCCUUCACCGGUCGGCGUCGGUGGCCGGGCGAGUUUACUUUGAACAAAUCAGAGUGCUUCAAACAGGCGUCUCGCUUGAAUGUUCGUGCAUGGAAUAAUAGAAGAGGAUUUCGGUCCGAUUUUAUUGGUUUUGCUGACCGAGAUAAUGGUUAACAGAGACAACGGGGCCAUUCGUAUUGCUGCGUGAGAGUGAAAAUUCUUGGACCGUAGCCACACGGAUUUAGCCAAAGCCAUUUGGCAAGAAGGUGUUCAUUUUUCAAGUACGAAAAGUCAGAGGUUAGAAGGCGAUCAGAUACCGCCCUAGUUCUGACCGUAAACGAUGCCAACUAGCGAUCCGGCGGCGGAUUCAUUCGCCCUGCUGGGGAGCUUCCCGGAAACGAAAGUCUUCCGGUUCCGGGGGAAGUAUGGUUGCAAAGCUGAAACUUAAAGGAAUUGACGGAAGGGCACCACCAGGAGUGGAGCCUGCGGCUUAAUUUGACUCAACACGGGAAAACUCACCCGGCCCGGACACCGUAAGGAUUGACAGAUUGAUAGCUUUUUCAUGAUUCGGUGGAUGGUGGUGCAUGGCCGUUCUUAGUUCGUGGAGCGAUUUGUCUGGUUUAUUCCGAUAACGAGCGAGACUCUGGCCUACUAAAUAGUUGGCGCAUUGCUACUGUGCGUACAACUUCUUAGAGGGAUUUUCGGUGUUCAGCCGCACGAAAUUGAGCAAUAACAGGUCUGUGAUGCCCUUAGAUGUCCGGGGCUGCACGCGCGCUACACUGGCAAAAUCAGCGUGCUUGUCCUUCCCCGAAAGGGGUUGGUAAACCCGUGAAAAUUUGCCGUGAUUGGGAUCGGACAUUGCAAUUAUUGUCCGUGAACGAGGAAUUCCUUGUAGGGGCGAGUCAUCAACUCGCUCUGAAUACGUCCCUGCCCUUUGUACACACCGCCCGUCGCUGCCCGGGACUGAGCCACUUCGAGAAACUCGGGGAUCGUUGGCUGUCGCAUUCGUGCGCGGUCAUGUGACAACCACCAG